UGGGGAAUCUUGCGCAAUGGGCGAAAGCCUGACGCAGCAACGCCGCGUGGGUGAUGAAGGUCUUCGGAUUGUAAAACCCUGUCGUUAGGGACGAAGACAUAAAUCCUAAUACGAUUUAUGUUUGACGGUACCUAGAAAGGAAGCCCCGGCUAACUCUGUG
RNAcentral lists this ribosomal RNA (160 nucleotides) under uncultured bacterium. Its description in RNAcentral is "partial 16S ribosomal RNA". It matches the Rfam family "Bacterial small subunit ribosomal RNA", at positions 355 to 507 of the family's 1533-position model. RNAcentral also lists the same sequence under 1 other name. The record is from RNAcentral.